This 398-nucleotide ribosomal RNA is filed under the name uncultured bacterium. RNAcentral describes it as "bacterial SSU rRNA". It matches the Rfam family "Bacterial small subunit ribosomal RNA", at positions 28 to 429 of the family's 1533-position model. The record is from RNAcentral.
GACGAACGCUGGCGGCGUGCUUAACACAUGCAAGUCAAGCGGUAAGGCCCUUUCGGGGGUACACGAGCGGCGAACGGGUGAGUAACACGUGGGUGACCUGCCCUCAGCUCUGGGAUAAGCCUGGGAAACUGGGUCUAAUACUGGAUAUGACUCCACGGUGCAUGUCGUGGGGUGGAAAGCCUUGUGCGGCUGAGGAUGGGCCCGCGGCCUAUCAGCUUGUUGGUGGGGUGANGGCCUACCAAGGCGACGACGGGUAGCCGGCCUGAGAGGGCGACCGGCCACACUGGGACUGAGACACGGCCCAGACUCCUACGGGAGGCAGCAGUGGGGAAUCUUGCGCAAUGGGCGAAAGCCUGACGCAGCGACGCCGCGUGAGGGAUGACGGCCUCGGUUGUAAC